This 722-nucleotide ribosomal RNA is filed under the name uncultured fungus. RNAcentral describes it as "eukaryotic LSU rRNA". The stretch from base 289 to 443 matches the Rfam family "5.8S ribosomal RNA". Lineage: Eukaryota; Fungi. The record is from RNAcentral.
CCGUCGAACUGAUAGUCGUUACCUAGUGAGACCCCCUCACCAACGGGGGGGCUCCCGAAGUCGUGGUACCUGCGGAGGAUCAUUACCGAAUUGUCAACACGAGUUGUUGCUGGUCCAAUGAGGGGCAUGUGCACACUCUGUUUGUACAUCCACUCACACCUGUGCACCCUCCGUAGCUCUGCAGCCUGGGGGCUCUGUCCUCCUGCCGUAGUUCUAUGUAUUUACACACACACACACACAAUAAUGAAGUCCCAUGGAAUGUAUCCCGCGUUUAACGCAAUACAAUACAACUUUCAGCAACGGAUCUCUUGGCUCUCGCAUCGAUGAAGAACGCAGCGAAAUGCGAUAAGUAAUGUGAAUUGCAGAAUUCAGUGAAUCAUCGAAUCUUUGAACGCACCUUGCGCCCUUUGGCUAUUCCGAAGGGCAUGCCUGUUUGAGUAUCAUGAACACCUCAACUCUCAUGGCUUGCCGUGAUGAGCUUGGACUUUGGGGGUCUUGCUGGCCUGUGGUCAGCUCCUCUCAAAUGAAUCAGCUUACCAGUGUUUGGUGGCAUCACAAGUGUGAUAACUAUCUACGCUUGUGGUUUUCCAUCAUGCAACCUUCAGUGAUGAAGGUUCACCGGGGCUCAUAAACGUCUCUCCUCAACGAGGAAAGCUCUUUUGAACGUUUGAUCUCAAAUCAGGUAGGACUACCCGCUGAACUUAAGAGACUUCUAUUUCCCC